AGUGAACGCUGGCGGUAGGCCUAACACAUGCAAGUCGAACGGCAGCACAGUAAGAGCUUGCUCUUACGGGUGGCGAGUGGCGGACGGGUGAGGAAUACAUCGGAAUCUACUUUUUCGUGGGGGCUAACGUAGGGAAACUUACGCUAAUACCGCAUACGACCUACGGGUGAAAGCAUGGGAUCUUCGGACCUUGCGCGAUUGAAUGAGCCGAUGUCGGAUUAGCUAGUUGGCGGGGUAAGGGCACACCAAGGCGACGAUCCGUAGCUGGUCUGAGAGGAUGAUCAGCCACACUGGAACUGAGACACGGUCCAGACUCCUACGGGAGGCAGCAGUGGGGAAUAUUGGACAAUGGGCACAAGCCUGAUCCAGCCAUACCGCGUGGGUGAAGAAGGCCUUCGGGUUGUAAAGCCCUUUUGUUGGGAAAGAAAAGCAGCAGGUUAAUACCCCGCUGUUCUGACGGUACCCAAAGAAUAAGCACCGGCUAACUUCGUG
This 492-nucleotide ribosomal RNA is filed under the name uncultured bacterium. RNAcentral's name for it is "partial 16S ribosomal RNA". It matches the Rfam family "Bacterial small subunit ribosomal RNA", at positions 29 to 507 of the family's 1533-position model. The record is from RNAcentral.